UUUAAGUUUCAAUCUUGCGACCGUACUUCCCAGGCGGCAGACUUAACGGCUUCCCUGCGGCACUGCAUUGGCAAGAAGCCAAUGCAUCACCGAGUCUGCAUCGUUUACAGCUGGGACUACCCGGGUAUCUAAUCCGGUUUGCUCCCCCAGCUUUCAUCCCUCACUGUCGAACGUGUUCUGGCAGACCGCCUUCGCCACUGGUGGUCCUCAAAGGAUCAGAGGAUUUUACCCCUACCCCCCGAAUACCGUCUGCCUCUCCCACUCCCUAGUCUUGUAGUAUCUCCAGCGGCCCAUCUGUUAAGCAGGUGGAUUUAACCGGAGACUUGCAAAACCAGCUACGGAUGCUUUAGGCCCAAUAAUCGUCCUGACCACUCGAGGUGCUGGUAUUACCGCGGCGGCUGACACCAGACUUGCCCACCCCUUAUUCGCCCGUGCUUUUAGGACGGGCAAAAGAUUCCUUUAUCAGAAAUCACUCGGACUGACCCA
This 486-nucleotide ribosomal RNA is filed under the name uncultured archaeon. RNAcentral's name for it is "partial 16S ribosomal RNA". The record is from RNAcentral.